This 273-nucleotide ribosomal RNA is filed under the name uncultured bacterium. Its description in RNAcentral is "partial 16S ribosomal RNA". It matches the Rfam family "Bacterial small subunit ribosomal RNA", at positions 28 to 303 of the family's 1533-position model. The record is from RNAcentral.
GAUGAACGCUGGCGGCGUGCUUAACACAUGCAAGUCGAACGGAGGAGCGAUUUCGGUUGCUCUUCAGUGGCGCACGGGUGAGUAACACGUAGCUGACCUGCCCUCAAGAGUGGGAUAACGGUUCGAAAGGACUGCUAAUACCGCAUAAGCUCACGUGCUUUAGAGGCGCGAGAGAAAAGGCGAAAGCCGCUAGAGGAGGGGGCUGCGGACCAUCAGCAGUUGGUGGGGUAAUGGCCUACCAAGGCGACGACGGGUAGGGGCCUGAGAGGGUGG